AACGAACGCUGGCGGCAUGCCUAACACAUGCAAGUCGAACGCGACCUUCGGGUCUAGUGGCGCACGGAAGCGUAACGCGUGAGAAACUGCCAUUAGGUUCGGCCUACCUCCCCGAAAGGGGUGCUAAUACCGGAUAAUGUCUUCGGACCAAAGAUUUAUCGCCAUUGGAUGGGCCCGCGUUGGAUUAGCUAGUUGGUAGGGUAAAAGCCUACCAAGGAGAAGAUCCAUAGCUGGUCUGAGAGGAUGAUCAGCCACACUGGGACUGAGACACGGCCCAGACUCCUACGGGAGGGAGGAGUGGGGAAUAGUGGACAGGGGGCGAAAGCCUGAUACAGCAAUGCCGCGUGAGUGGUGAAGGCCUGAGGGUUGUAAAGCUCUCUUACCCGGGAUGAUAAUGACAGUACCGGGAGAAUAAGCCCCGGCUAACUCCGUU
This 433-nucleotide ribosomal RNA is filed under the name uncultured bacterium. Its description in RNAcentral is "partial 16S ribosomal RNA". It matches the Rfam family "Bacterial small subunit ribosomal RNA", at positions 29 to 507 of the family's 1533-position model. The record is from RNAcentral.